UACGAAGGGGGCUAGCGUUGUUCGGAUUUACUGGGCGUAAAGCGCACGUAGGCGGAUCGUUAAGUCGGGGGUGAAAUCCUGGAGCUCAACUCCAGAACUGCCUUCGAUACUGGCGAUCUCGAGUCCGGAAGAGGUGAGUGGAACUCCUAGUGUAGAGGUGGAAUUCGUAGAUAUUAGGAAGAACACCAGUGGCGAAGGCGACUCACUGGUCCGGUACUGACGCUGAGGCGCGAAAGCGUGGGGAGCGAACAGG
This 253-nucleotide ribosomal RNA is filed under the name uncultured bacterium. RNAcentral describes it as "partial 16S ribosomal RNA". It matches the Rfam family "Bacterial small subunit ribosomal RNA", at positions 524 to 776 of the family's 1533-position model. The record is from RNAcentral.